UCCGAUAUGGUGUAACGGCUAACAUUACCGCCUUUCACCACGAAGUGGUAGUUCGCGGUAGCUCGGGGUUCGAUUCCCCGUAUCGGAG
Molecule: non-coding RNA, 88 nt
Organism: Cristinia sonorae
Lineage: Eukaryota; Fungi; Basidiomycota; Agaricomycetes; Agaricales; Stephanosporaceae
Source: the annotation of a GenBank genome assembly